UGCAUGGUAGUGGGGGAUAACGUUUCGAAAGGAACGCUUAUACCGCAUACGUCCUACGGGAGAAAGCAGGGGACCUUCGGGCCUUGCGCUAUCAGAUGAGCCUAGGUCGGAUUAGCUAGUUGGUGAGGUAAUGGCUCACCAAGGCGACGAUCCGUAACUGGUCUGAGAGGAUGAUCAGUCACACUGGAACUGAGACACGGUCCAGACUCCUACGGGAGGCAGCAGUGGGGAAUAUUGGACAAUGGGCGAAAGCCUGAUCCAGCCAUGCCGCGUGUGUGAAGAAGGUCUUCGGAUUGUAAAGCACUUUAAGUUGGGAGGAAGGGCAGUAAGUUAAUACCUUGCUGUUUUGACGUUACCGACAGAAUAAGCACCGGCUAACUUCGUGCCAGCAGCCGCGGUAAUACGAAGGGUGCAAGCGUUAAUCGGAAUUACUGGGCGUAAAGCGCGCGUAGGUGGUUUGUUAAGUUGGAUGUGAAAGCCCCGGGCUCAACCUGGGAACUGCAUCCAAAACUGGCAAGCUAGAGUACGGUAGAGGGUGGUGGAAUUUCCUGUGUAGCGGUGAAAUGCGUAGAUAUAGGAAGGAACACCAGUGGCGGAGGCGACCACCUGGGCUAAUACUGACACUGAGGU
Molecule: ribosomal RNA, 630 nt
Filed under: Ectopseudomonas oleovorans
Lineage: Bacteria; Pseudomonadati; Pseudomonadota; Gammaproteobacteria; Pseudomonadales; Pseudomonadaceae
Description: bacterial SSU rRNA
Rfam family: Bacterial small subunit ribosomal RNA
Source: RNAcentral